Molecule: ribosomal RNA, 1384 nt
Filed under: uncultured bacterium
Lineage: Bacteria
Description: bacterial SSU rRNA
Rfam family: Bacterial small subunit ribosomal RNA
Source: RNAcentral
AGAGUUUGAUCCUGGCUCAGGACGAACGCUGGCGGCGCGCCUAACACAUGCAAGUCGAACGGAAUCAAGAGGAGCUUGCUUUUCUUGAUUUAGUGGCGAACGGGUGAGUAACGCGUGAGUAACCUGCCCUGGAGUGGGGGACAACAGUUGGAAACGACUGCUAAUACCGCAUAAGCCCACGGUAUCGCAUGGUACUGAGGGAAAAGGAUUUAUUCGCUCUAGGAUGGACUCGCGUCCAAUUAGCUAGUUGGUGAGGUAACGGCCCACCAAGGCGACGAUUGGUAGCCGGACUGAGAGGUUGAACGGCCACAUUGGGACUGAGACACGGCCCAGACUCCUACGGGAGGCAGCAGUGGGGGAUAUUGCACAAUGGGGGAAACCCUGAUGCAGCGACGCCGCGUGGAGGAAGAAGGUUUUCGGAUUGUAAACUCCUGUCGUUAGGGACGAUAAUGACGGUACCUAACAAGAAAGCACCGGCUAACUACGUGCCAGCAGCCGCGGUAAAACGUAGGGUGCAAGCGUUGUCCGGAAUUACUGGGUGUAAAGGGAGCGCAGGCGGACCGGCAAGUUGGAAGUGAAAUCCAUGGGCUCAACCCGUGAAUUGCUUUCAAAACUGCUGGCCUUGAGUAGUGCAGAGGUAGGUGGAAUUCCCGGUGUAGCGGUGGAAUGCGUAGAUAUCGGGAGGAACACCAGUGGCGAAGGCGACCUACUGGGCACCAACUGACGCUGAGGCUCGAAAGCAUGGGUAGCAAACAGGAUUAGAUACCCUGGUAGUCCAUGCCGUAAACGAUGAUUACUAGGUGUUGGAGGAUUGACCCCUUCAGUGCCGCAGUUAACACAAUAAGUAAUCCACCUGGGGAGUACGACCGCAAGGUUGAAACUCAAAGGAAUUGACGGGGGCCCGCACAAGCAGUGGAGUAUGUGGUUUAAUUCGAAGCAACGCGAAAAACCUUACCAGGUCUUGACAUCCGAUGCAUAUUGCAAAGAUGCAUGAAGUCCUUCGGGACAUCCAGAACAGGUGGUGCAUGGUUGUCCUCCACCUCCGGUCCUGGAGAAUGUUGGGUUAAAUCCCCGAACCAAGCGCAACCCUUUUUUGCCAGUUUCCUCCAAAAAGAAGAACUCUGGGGAAAAAUGCCUUUGACAAAACCGGGGGAAAAGUGGGGAUGACGUCAAAUCAUCAUGCCCUUUAUGACCUGGGCUACACACGUACUACAAUGGCGUUUAACAAAGAGAAGCAAGACCGCGAGGUGGAGCAAAACUCAGAAACAACGUCUCAGUUCAGAUUGCAGGCUGCAACUCGCCUGCAUGAAGUCGGAAUUGCUAGUAAUCGCGGAUCAGCAUGCCGCGGUGAAUACGUUCCCGGGCCUUGUACACACCGCCCGUC